RNAcentral lists this ribosomal RNA (305 nucleotides) under uncultured bacterium. Its description in RNAcentral is "bacterial SSU rRNA". It matches the Rfam family "Bacterial small subunit ribosomal RNA", at positions 335 to 637 of the family's 1533-position model. The record is from RNAcentral.
AAGCCUACGGGGGGCAGCAGUGAGGAAUAUUGGUCAAUGGGCGAGAGCCUGAACCAGCCAAGUCGCGUGAAGGAUGACGGCCCUAUGGGUUGUAAACUUCUUUUGUCAGGGAGCAAUUGGGUCCACGCGUGGGCUUAGCGAGAGUACCUGAAGAAAAAGCAUUGGCUAACUCCGUGCCAGCAGCCGCGGUAAUACGGAGGAUGCGAGCGUUAUCCGGAUUUAUUGGGUUUAAAGGGUGCGCAGGCGGAUUUUUAAGUCAGCGGUCAAAUCGUGGGGCUCAACCCCAUCCAGCCGUUGAAACUGGG